This 501-nucleotide ribosomal RNA is filed under the name uncultured bacterium. Its description in RNAcentral is "partial 16S ribosomal RNA". It matches the Rfam family "Bacterial small subunit ribosomal RNA", at positions 355 to 847 of the family's 1533-position model. The record is from RNAcentral.
UAGGGAAUCUUCCGCAAUGGACGAAAGUCUGAUGGAGCAACGCCGCGUGAGUGAUGAAGGGUUUCGGCUCGUAAAACUCUGUUGUUGGAGAAGAACAGGUGUGAGAGUAACUGUUCACAUCUUGACGGUAUCCAACCAGAAAGCCACGGCUAACUACGUGCCAGCAGCCGCGGUAAUACGUAGGUGGCAAGCGUUGUCCGGAUUUAUUGGGCGUAAAGCGAGCGCAGGCGGUUUCUUAGGUCUGAUGUGAAAGCCUUCGGCUUAACCGGAGAAGUGCAUCGGAAACCAGGAGACUUGAGUGCAGAAGAGGGCAGUGGAACUCCAUGUGUAGCGGUGAAAUGCGUAGAUAUAUGGAAGAACACCAGUGGCGAAGGCGGCUGUCUGGUCUGUAACUGACGCUGAGGCUCGAAAGCAUGGGUAGCGAACAGGAUUAGAUACCCUGGUAGUCCAUGCCGUAAACGAUGAGUGCUAAGUGUUGGAGGGUUUCCGCCCUUCAGUGCU